AGGGCAGGAAUUCAUGUCCCCACGGUGGCAUCUGCUUCCCAGGCUGUGGGGCCAGCAAGGGGCUCAGCUGCUCCCCAGCCCUGCCUUCCUCCAUGGAUCUGACAUGACUCUUUUAUGGGAAUUUACGUAAAAGUAACGCCUUGCUCAGUGUGGAAAAUUUAGGAGCUUCAGGAAAAUAUAAAGAAAAUUAAGGAAGUCAUCUCGCUUCUCAAAUACCGUGUUAAUUUGGGAGAGCACCUGCCAGGCAGCAGUGUCGCUCAGCUUAUGCGCAGCCAGCUUGGGGACUACAGCAGCUCAUCCUAACAAGAGACCAGAACUUCAGGCUGGUCUGAGGCAUGUGCCCACCUCUGGGUCACACGUCAUUCUUGAAGCAGUGGGCAAGUCAAAUAUCCCCACCCCUCCUGCACAGAAAAGGGGAGGAUCCCAAGAAGAGAAUGUGGGGGCUGCCUCCAGGAGGAGAAGAAAGACUUGUGGGUCCACUGCAGACAUCCAGGUGGAGAUGUCUGGAGCCCAGGGGUCGGGUAAGAGCUACAGCCAGGUUGGGGUUAUUGUGGGAGGAGCCGUAGGAGUGAAUGAGAUCAGGAAAGGUGGCCGGGGUAGACCUAGGACCUAGGGACCUAGGAAAGAGACAGACACGCUGGGGAAGAAGCGUCAGAGGACAGAGGGUGAGACGCUUGAAAAGGAAGUGGGCGAGAACAGUGUUGCCUAAAAAGAGGGAGCCCAGUUCCCUGAAGGUGAGGGUGAAGACAGGCCAUUGGGCUGAGACGAUGGGCAAAGGGCAGGGUGUGGGCAGAGCUGGUUUGGGACCC
This 809-nucleotide long non-coding RNA is filed under the name Homo sapiens (human). RNAcentral describes it as "HSALNT0100841". The record is from RNAcentral. Lineage: Eukaryota; Metazoa; Chordata; Mammalia; Primates; Hominidae.